CAGCAACUCUUGCCUCUUCUGACGCACUGAACAAAGCAACGUUGCAGGAUCUCUGUGGACGGACAGGUGGAUUGUGUGGCCCUGUGGCUCUGGCAUUUGUUCUCCGGGUCGUACUCGAAGAUCCAUGAUCCAUCAUAGACCAACUGGGACAAGAUCUGAGGUGGACAACUUCCCCGUUGCAAUGGAGGAUUCUGCUCCGACCGACCGGGCCAGUUCCUGAGGCAGAACCACCCAAGACGUCUACUCUGCGGCCCCGUUUCUAUUUAAAUUGACUCUUAUGCCAUCUUAAUGAAAAUUGUACAGCAUCUUGCCAUUGUAAUUAACAUUGUACAGCACCAGACUAUGUGAUAAAUGUGGCCCACUCGACAGCCGUUGCAGCCUGGUCGUCCUGGAAGGGGGAUCCCCUCAUCUGCGGUCCCUUCUUAAGCUUUCUUCUUUCCCCAAAUGGGAUUUGAAUUUUUUCUUGUCCGAUUGGGCGGUUUAGAUUAGGGGAUGUUGUCAAUCAUUGCCAACUGUGGGCCUAUGAAACCUUUUGAGAGUCUUUUGUAAU
Long non-coding RNA from Phyllopteryx taeniolatus (common seadragon), 550 nucleotides. RefSeq lists it as uncharacterized. NCBI's taxonomy places the organism in Eukaryota, Metazoa, Chordata, Actinopteri, Syngnathiformes, Syngnathidae. The transcript is spliced from 3 exons. The record is from RefSeq and is a predicted model, not a curated record.